GACCUCCCCCAGGGACCCCUACCUCAGGAGCCCCUUUCCCCAGGAAAGGCUCCGGAAGUGAUGGGCCUGCGAGGGGCAGGAUAGCCUCCCGCCGCCUCAGAGGCGCAGGGGAGACCAAGCCACGGACCGCAGGGGGCGCUCGGAGCACGCGCAGUGCCAAGUGAAGGAGCCCAGAGCCACCGGCGAAUCCGGGGCCCCAGGACACGGGACUUGGCUGGGGCUGCGUCCCCAGCCCGGGAGCCCCAGCCCAGUGCUGCCGAGUGGCCUCGGGACUUCCCACACUUCUUCCCUGCUCUGCGUUCGCGGGGGAAAAAGGCGGGAAGUCUGUGGAAGGAGGAAGGGGAGCCCGAACCCCGGGCCACCGCUUCCAACCGCAGGCGCACGCCAGCACAGCCGCCCUCCACGGAGGCCGAUUGCUCCGAUCCAGAAGCCCCCCAACUAAGAGGGAAGAAGGAAGAAACCCGCUGAGUCUCGGCAACCCAGACAUUCGGUCCCCGCCUCCUCCCUCAGCUGAAAAGUCACACUGAAGACCAAGGCUACCUUCGGAGCUGAAGGACCUUCAGGCUGCAACUAUGGGAGGUGUCAGAAAAGAAGCCCAAGGUUUCCUGCGGGGGCAUGUCUGCCAAUUGAGUCAGUAGUUGUCCGGAAGACGGAUGAUUGAACUACCCUGAGGAGCAGCAAAAACGGGCAAUCAAAAACUUUAAACUGAAAAAUAAAAACUUUACCCAUUCCCCCAAAGACUUUAUUUCUGUGCCUUAACGUUAAAACAAGACCACUAACAACAAUAAUAAAAU
Long non-coding RNA from Acinonyx jubatus (cheetah), 794 nucleotides. RefSeq lists it as uncharacterized. NCBI's taxonomy places the organism in Eukaryota, Metazoa, Chordata, Mammalia, Carnivora, Felidae. The transcript has 3 exons. The record is from RefSeq and is a predicted model, not a curated record.